RNAcentral lists this small nucleolar RNA (107 nucleotides) under Nelumbo nucifera (sacred lotus). RNAcentral describes it as "Plant small nucleolar RNA R71". It matches the Rfam family "Plant small nucleolar RNA R71". Rfam says of the family: R71 is a member of the C/D box family of snoRNAs containing the C (UGAUGA) and D (CUGA) box motifs. Multiple nearly identical copies of this snoRNA have been identified in Arabidopsis, and it is thought to function as a 2'-O-ribose methylation guide for 18S ribosomal RNA. Lineage: Eukaryota; Viridiplantae; Streptophyta; Magnoliopsida; Proteales; Nelumbonaceae. The record is from Rfam by way of RNAcentral.
AGACUAUGGUGAGGACACUUCCUAAGCAGUUCCUUAAAUCUCUCCCACGACUCAUAUAAAGUUUCAUUUUCAAAUUGAGAAAAAAUUGUUAUGUCAUUUCUUAAUUC